GAUGAACGCUGGCGGCGUGCUUAACACAUGCAAGUCGAACGGGAAACCUUUUAUUGAAGCUUCGGCAGAUUUAGCUGGUUUCUAGUGGCGGACGGGUGAGUAACGCGUGGGUAACCUGCCUUAUACAGGGGGAUAACAACCAGAAAUGGUUGCUAAUACCGCAUAAGCGCACAGGACCGCAUGGUCCGGUGUGAAAAACUCCGGUGGUAUAAGAUGGACCCGCGUUGGAUUAGCUAGUUGGCAGGGUAACGGCCUACCAAGGCGACGAUCCAUAGCCGGCCUGAGAGGGUGAACGGCCACAUUGGGACUGAGACACGGCCCAGACUCCUACGGGAGGCAGCAGUGGGGAAUAUUGCACAAUGGGGGAAACCCUGAUGCAGCGACGCCGCGUGAAGGAAGAAGUAUCUCGGUAUGUAAACUUCUAUCAGCAGGGAAGAUAGUGGCGGUACCUGACUAAGAAGCCCCGGCUAACUACGUG
Molecule: ribosomal RNA, 478 nt
Filed under: uncultured bacterium
Lineage: Bacteria
Description: partial 16S ribosomal RNA
Rfam family: Bacterial small subunit ribosomal RNA
Source: RNAcentral